Molecule: long non-coding RNA, 741 nt
Organism: Tribolium castaneum (red flour beetle)
Lineage: Eukaryota; Metazoa; Arthropoda; Insecta; Coleoptera; Tenebrionidae
Exons: 3
Source: RefSeq, a predicted model, not a curated record
AUAUUAACAUAACAAAUUAAAUAAUCGUUCUCAUGUGACAAAACAUCAUAUGACUGUGUGGAACAAAUCCAAGUCAGUGAUUUUGGGCAGAGAGGUGCCAUUAAUAGAGCGUUGAUAAUAAUUGCGUGUGAUAUACCAAUUAGGGUGUUUGUAGCUCAGACCGACUGACAUUAAUUUAAAAAUAUGCAAAGUACGUAUUUUGUGACUACUUCAAGGAAAACAGAAACGGGAUUUUGAGCGAUAUCAGUUUGGGUGAAUAACACGAUUAGCCUCACUUGGAAACAGCCUAUCAAUAUUGCUAAAUUCUAAUAUCACAGGCAGUAUUCUGGUCUUGUUCCGAGUGGUUUAGAUUUAUAUGCAAAAGUGGCGAUCGAAUAGGGAAAUCUUAACCGAUUUACCUUCUGUUCAAGGCGAAGUACUCUUACUAUCAAGGAUUUAAUUUGGUCUAUUAGUACUCACCUCCUUCUUCCACAUGUGUUCCAUGUUUGAGGUGGUGCAGGUGGGCGUAGUAGUGAUGAUGAUGAAGAAUACACUCUAGAUCCGUGCAAUUUAACAUCUUCACUCAGCGCUACGUGUCGCGAAAACGUAAAAGGAUGCUUGAGCUGGAGUUUAGCGAAAAUACUUGUUUUAUCCCAUUAUUGAGUUAAAUGUUUUUAAUUCGUAUUGCCACACACUCGUGUUUAUGUCACUACACCGCAACGAGGUCUUACAUAUAAGGAUUAUUAAUAAACAUUAACUCUA